CUUCUGCCACUGCCAUAGUCACUGCUGCUGCUGGAACCUCCAUAGAUACCUUGGCUUCGUGAUUUAAUGGCCAGAGCUUCUGCCUCCAAACUUUCCUCCUUUCAUGGGUCCAAAAUUUGAAGACUGAUUUUUGUAAUUGCCAAAAUCGUUAUAGCUUCCACCACCUCCAAAGUUGCUUCCAUCAUUACCAAAUUACCAAAUCCAUUAUAGCCAUUUCCACUGCCACCAUAUCUACCACCUCCUCAAAUGCCACCAAAGCCACCUCGCCCACUCAUGUUUCCUCCAUGACCACUGUUGUCAUUCCCACCAAAACCACCUCCAUGACCACCACCAAGGUUUCCAGAACCACUUCAACCUCUUUGGCUGGAUGAAGCACCAGCCAUCUCUUGCUUAGAUACAGCUUUCCUUACUUCACAUUUGUGGCCAUUCACAGUACGAUAUUUUUGAACGACAAUCUUAUCUACAGAGUCAUGGUCAUCAAAUGUUACAAAAGCAAAGCCCCUUUUUUUACCACUGCCUCAGUCAGUCAUGAUUUCAAUCACUUCAAUUUUCCUAUACUGUUCAAAAUAAUCUCUUAGAUGAUGACCUUCAGUGUCUUCUCUAAUGCCACCGACAAAAAUCUUCUUCACAGUUAAGUGGGCACCAGGUCUUUGAGAAUCUUCUCUUGAGACAGCCGUCUUUGGUUCUACAACUCUUCCAUCCACCCUAUGUGGCUCUGCAUUCAUGGCUGCAUCCACCUCUUCCACAGUGGCAUACGUGAUAAACCCAAAGCUUCUGGAGUGUUUGGUGUUUGGACCUCUCAUUACCACACAGUCCAUAAGCAUUCCCCAUUGCUCAAAAUGGCUCCUCACAUUCUCAUCAGAUGUUUCAAAGCUCAAACCUCCGGUGAAAAGCUUCCACAGCUGUUCAGGCUCUUUGGGAGACUCUGACUUAGACACGAUGGUGGUGAGGGAGAAGACUUUAAUGAUGUUUACUGGGCAGCGUCCAC
Molecule: long non-coding RNA, 988 nt
Filed under: Lynx pardinus (Iberian lynx)
Lineage: Eukaryota; Metazoa; Chordata; Mammalia; Carnivora; Felidae
Source: RNAcentral